This 1608-nucleotide long non-coding RNA is filed under the name Homo sapiens (human). RNAcentral's name for it is "HSALNT0229061". The stretch from base 887 to 1172 matches the Rfam family "Metazoan signal recognition particle RNA". The record is from RNAcentral. Lineage: Eukaryota; Metazoa; Chordata; Mammalia; Primates; Hominidae.
GGUUUCACCAUGUUGGCCAGACUGGUCUCGAACUCCUGACCUCAGGUGAUCUGCUUGCCUUAGCCUCCCAAGGUGCUGGAAUUAUAGGCGUGAGCCACCACGCCCGGCCUGGAUUUCUUAUAUAUAAGAUCAUGACAGACAUAAUGUUACUUCUGUGCCAUUUUGGAUGCCUUCUCUUUGUUUUUCUUGCACAAUUUCUCUGUCUACCUUCAAUCCGAUAUUGAAUAGAAGUAGUAAAAAGUGGACAUCCUUGUCUUAUGCCUGCUAUUGGAGAAAAAGCUUUUAGUCUUUCGUUGUUGAGUAUGAUAUUAGCUGUGGGUUUUUUUAUAUGGUCAGGUUGUGUAUGGUGGCUCCUGCCUGUAAUCCCAGCAGUUUGGGAGGCUGAGGUGGGAGGAUUGCUUGAGGUCAGGAGUUUGAGAUCAGUCUGGGCAACAUAGGAAGACUCUUUGUUUACAAAAAACUAAAAAAUUAGCUGGGCAUGGUGGUGCAUGCCUAGCUACUUGGAGGCUGAGGCAGGAUGAUAGCUUGAGCCCGGGAGUUUGAGGUUACAGUGAGUAAUGAUCAUGCCACUGCCCUCCAGCCUGGACAACAUAGCAAAAUCCUGCCUCAUAAAUAAAUAGUCUUUAUUAUAUUGAAUUAAUUUCCUAUUUCUAAUUUCGUUGAGUGCUUUUUAAAUCAUGAAAGGAUAUAAAUGUUCUCAAAUUUUUGUUUAUAUCAAUUGAGAUGAUUGUGUGUGUGUGUGUUUUUUUUUCCCCUUUGGUUAAUGUGGUACAUUACAUCGGUUGAUUUUUGUACAUUGGGCCACUCCAGGAAUAAUUCCACUUGGUCAUGGCAUAUAAUUCUUUUAAUAUACUGCUGAGUUCAGUUUGCUAGAAUACCAAAAAAAGCCAGGCGUGGUGGCAACAUGCCUAUCAUCCAGCUACUGAAGAGGCUGAGGUGGAAAGAUCACUUGAGCUGGGGAGUUGGAGGCUGCAGUGAGCCGUGAUCAAGCCACUGAACUCCACGCUGAGCGACAGUUUUCUAGAAUUUUCGUUGAGGAUUUUUGUAUCCAUCUUUUUUAUUAUUGUUGUUGAGACAAGGUCUCACUCUGUCGCUCAGCAUGGAGUUCAGUGGCUUGAUCACGGCUCACUGCAGCCUCCAACUCCCCAGCUCAAGUGAUCUUUCCACCUCAGCCUCUUCAGUAGCUGGGAUGACAGGCAUGUUGCCACCAUGCCUGGCUUUUUUUGAUAUUUUUUCUGUAGAGAUGAGGUUUCGCCAUGUCGCCCAGGCUGGUCUCAAACUCCUGAACUCAAGCAAUCUGCCUGCCUCAGCCUCCCAAAGUACUGGCAUUACAGGCUUGAGCCACCACAACCAGCCUAGUAAUGUUCUUUUCUUUUUUGAGACAGAGUCUCACUCUGUUGCCCAGGCUGGAGUGCAGUGACACAAUCUUGUUCACUGCAACCUCCACCUUCAAGGUUCAAGCGAUUCUCGUGCCUCAGCCUCCUGAGUAGCUGGGAUUACAGGCAUGUGCCACCACGCCCGGCUAAUUUUUUUUUUUCGAGAUGGAGUUUCACUUUUGUCACCCAGGCUGGAGUGCAAUGGCACCAUCUUGGCUCACUGCAACCUCUG